CCACGAUGACUAGGGGGUCUGAGAGGAUGAUCCCCCACACUGGUACUGAGACACGGACCAGACUCCUACGGGAGGCAGCAGUGAGGAAUAUUGGGCAAUGGACGCAAGUCUGACCCAGCCAUGCCGCGUGCAGGAUGACUGCCCUAUGGGUUGUAAACUGCUUUUGUUUGGGAAGAAACCCCCGAUCGUGAUCGGGGCUGACGGUACCAUACGAAUAAGCAUCGGCCAACUCCGUGCCAGCAGCCGCGGUAAUACGGAGGAUGCAAGCGUUAUCCGGAUUCAUAGGGUUUAAAGGGUGCGCAGGCGGAAUAUUAAGUCAGUGGUGAAAUCCUGCAGCUUAACUGUAGAACUGCCAUUGAUACUGAUAUACUUGAAUAUAGUUGAGGUGGGCGGAAUGUGUAAUGUAGCGGUGAAAUGCUUAGAUAUUACACAGAACACCAAUUUGCGAAGGCAGCUCACUAAACUAAUAUUGACGCUGAGGCACGAAAGCGUGGGUAGCAAACAGGAUUAGAUACCCUGGUAGUCCACGCUGUAAACUAUGAUCACUCGCUGUUGGCAAUACAUCGUCAGCGGCUGAGCGAAAGCAUUAAGUGAUCCACCUGGGGAGUACGGUCGCAAGAUUGAAACUCAAAGGAAUUGACGGGGGCCCGCACAAGCGGAGGAACAUGUGGUUUAAUUCGAUGAUACGCGAGGAACCUUACCUGGGCUUAAAUGCAGAGCGACGUCCGCCGAAAGGUGGAUUCCUUCGGGCGAUCUGCAAGGUGCUGCAUGGUUGUCGUCAGCUCGUGCCGUGAGGUGUCGGGUUAAGUCCCAUAACGAGCGCAACCCUUAUCGUUAGUUGCCAGCGGGUAAUGCCGGGGACUCUAACGAAACUGCCGGUGUAAACCGUGAGGAAGGUGGGGAUGACGUCAAAUCAGCACGGCCCUUAUGUCCAGGGCUACACACGUGUUACAAUGGUCGGUACAGAGGGCAGCUACCACGCAAGUGGAUGCUAAUCUCGAAAACCGGUCUCAGUUCGGAUUGAAGUCUGCAACUCGACUUCAUGAAGCUGGAUUCGCUAGUAAUCGCGCAUCAGCCAUGGCGCGGUGAA
RNAcentral lists this ribosomal RNA (1090 nucleotides) under uncultured organism. RNAcentral describes it as "bacterial SSU rRNA". It matches the Rfam family "Bacterial small subunit ribosomal RNA", at positions 274 to 1366 of the family's 1533-position model. The record is from RNAcentral.